Molecule: non-coding RNA, 200 nt
Organism: Populus trichocarpa (black cottonwood)
Lineage: Eukaryota; Viridiplantae; Streptophyta; Magnoliopsida; Malpighiales; Salicaceae
Source: Rfam
ACGACCUUACUUGAACAGGAUCUGUUCUAUAGGAUCGUACCUCUGUAUCCUUAAUCACUAAGGAGACAGGAACUUAAACCUGGUUGAGAAAUCAUACCGUGUGAUCAUAACAUGAUUUGGACUAAAGGAGGUUCAACCUAUUUUAGAAGUGUCGACAAGCAGAACCACCUUGUUAUUGAUGUGGGUCUUGAUGAUAGGUC